RNAcentral lists this unclassified non-coding RNA (353 nucleotides) under soil metagenome. RNAcentral's name for it is "partial contains 5.8S ribosomal RNA, internal transcribed spacer 2, and large subunit ribosomal RNA". The stretch from base 1 to 120 matches the Rfam family "5.8S ribosomal RNA", at positions 35 to 154 of the family's 154-position model. The record is from RNAcentral.
GAUGAAGAACGUAGCGAAAUGCGAUAAGUAGUGUGAAUUGCAGAAUUCAGUGAAUCAUCGAAUCUUUGAACGCACAUUGCGCCUCCUGGCAUUCCGGGAGGCAUGCCUGUUCGAGCGUCAUUAAAAUCACUCAAGCUUAGGUUUGCCUAUUGCUUGGUCUUGAAGAUGGAAGCUAAGUAAUUAGAAUCCUCUUCGAAAUCCAAUGGCGAAGACCCUUGCUCUCCCAAGUGUAGUAAUAACUUAUUCACUGAAGGAAGCGAGUAAUCUUCCGCCGUAACCCCCAUAUUUUCUAUGAUUGACCUCGGAUCAGGUAGGGAUACCCGCUGAACUUAAGCAUAUCAAUAAGCGGAGGA